This is a long non-coding RNA of Dermochelys coriacea (leatherback sea turtle), 164 nucleotides long. RefSeq lists it as uncharacterized. The record is from RefSeq and is a predicted model, not a curated record. Lineage: Eukaryota; Metazoa; Chordata; Testudines; Dermochelyidae. The transcript is spliced from 3 exons.
CACUUCUCAGGACCCUUUCUUGAGCAAUGCAAGUUUAUUAAUUGGUUUGCUACUUCAUCAAUGGAAAGUGAAUAUACACCAGCCUUUGUAAAACUGAGCACAUUUAUCAAGCACUUCAGGCAAAUUCACUGGUAAAGAUAAAUAUUUAGACCCAUUUGUUGACU